ACCUCUAAAGGAAGCACCGGCUAACUCCGUGCCAGCAGCCGCGGUAAUACGGAGGGUGCAAGCGUUGUUCGGAAUCACUGGGCGUAAAGGGCGCGCAGGCGGCCUGAUCAGUCAGAUGUGAAAGCCCACGGCUUAACUGUGGAAGUGCAUUUGAAACUGUCAGGCUUGAGUACCAGAGGGGAAAGUGGAAUUCCCGGUGUAGAGGUGAAAUUCGUAGAUAUCGGGAGGAAUACCGGUGGCGAAGGCGACUUUCUGGCUGGAUACUGACGCUGAGGCGCGAAAGCGUGGGGAGCAAACAGGAUUAGAUACCCUGGUAGUCCACGCUGUAAACGAUGUGCACUAGAUGUAGGGGGUGUUGAUCCCCUCUGUGUCGCAGCUAACGCAUUAAGUGCACCGCCUGGGGAGUACGGUCGCAAGAUUAAAACUCAAAGGAAUUGACGGGGG
This 444-nucleotide ribosomal RNA is filed under the name uncultured bacterium. RNAcentral's name for it is "bacterial SSU rRNA". It matches the Rfam family "Bacterial small subunit ribosomal RNA", at positions 477 to 919 of the family's 1533-position model. The record is from RNAcentral.